Molecule: long non-coding RNA, 243 nt
Filed under: Gallus gallus (chicken)
Lineage: Eukaryota; Metazoa; Chordata; Aves; Galliformes; Phasianidae
Source: RNAcentral
CUGGCUGUUGGUAUCCUGGCAUCGGACCAUUAUAAGCUCCAUACUGUGUGUGAGGAACCCCUGGCAAUGGCUGUCCUCCGUAGGCAGGCUGCUGGUAGCCCUGAUAUCCAGGCUGAGGUUGCCCAUAAGGAGGCCCCGCGUGAGUAUGCUGGUUUACACUCAUUGUAUUCACAUCCCCAAACUAAUUUCACCUCCGCUGCCCGCCGCUCCUGGCGCUGCUGCCGGGCCCGCUUCCGGCUGCCG